AGAAUAGCAUAGCAUAAAUUAUGUUCAGAAAAGGUACAUAAAUAAGAUUUACAUUACCCUUCGUUCUAAAAUGAUUGUUCAUUUGCUUGGUGAUGAUUAUAGAUAAGUUUCCAUCAAUAGUACCUAUCAAAACAACCUCAAAACUUUCUUCGUGCACUAAUACUUAUAUUUGAUAGCUAAGACAGCACUUAGAACUUUUCUAAUG
RNAcentral lists this long non-coding RNA (205 nucleotides) under Eucalyptus grandis. RNAcentral describes it as "long non-coding RNA (EGRA_LNC001889)". Lineage: Eukaryota; Viridiplantae; Streptophyta; Magnoliopsida; Myrtales; Myrtaceae. The record is from RNAcentral.